AGACGUGGCGGCCUCUAGACCAGUAGCUCCGGUACACUAAUUUAGCUUCGCAGAUAGACUGGAGGUGGCCGACAACUCGACAGCCAGAUUUCGUGGGCAGCAACUCUUCCACCUCUCCAACCGUCCACGUGUCCCACUUACUAAACGACCGAUCAUGCAUUCCGUACGCCCCAACUUAAAAUCCCCUUUCCACCCUUCCUUCAUCGCCAUUGAACCAAGGGCACUUUCGAGUUUCAAGCUUUUCGAUGGCACCGCGUGUAAUUCCAGAAACAAUCACGGGCAGUCCCGUCAAUUUCAAGGUAUCCUGCUCUGUAAAAGAUUUCCAAGGGGAUAUUUGUCAGUGAGUUCAGAUCUUCUGCUUCUUCUUCUUCUUCUUCUUCUUCUCUCUCUUCCUGUUUCCGUACCCAAAAGGCAAAAAUUUGAAAUCCUUGAUCCUCUGUUCGGUUAAUGUUACAGGUAAUUGGUAGCUACGGAGGAGGUUGAGAAAUGCAAGACAUCCACUCAAUUGGCGGGGGGGGG
RNAcentral lists this long non-coding RNA (519 nucleotides) under Linum usitatissimum (flax). Its description in RNAcentral is "long non-coding RNA (LUSI_LNC001776)". The record is from RNAcentral. Lineage: Eukaryota; Viridiplantae; Streptophyta; Magnoliopsida; Malpighiales; Linaceae.